GGGAAGUAAUGUUUAAAAACCCAUUCCAUUUCUGAAGCAAGUUGUGGAAUAAAACAUACUGAUCCC
Small nucleolar RNA from Erpetoichthys calabaricus (reedfish), 66 nucleotides. Ensembl annotates it as small nucleolar RNA, C/D box 98. Its record names the gene SNORD98. The record is from Ensembl. Lineage: Eukaryota; Metazoa; Chordata; Cladistia; Polypteriformes; Polypteridae.